This 433-nucleotide ribosomal RNA is filed under the name uncultured bacterium. RNAcentral's name for it is "partial 16S ribosomal RNA". It matches the Rfam family "Bacterial small subunit ribosomal RNA", at positions 29 to 507 of the family's 1533-position model. The record is from RNAcentral.
AACGAACGCUGGCGGCAUGCCUAACACAUGCAAGUCGAACGAGACCUUCGGGUCUAGUGGCGCACGUGUGCGUAACGCGUGGGAACCUGCCCUUAGGUUCGGAAUAACUCCCCGAAAGGGGUGCUAAUACCGGAUAAUGUCUUCGGACCAAAGAUUUAUCGCUUUUGGAUGGGCCCGCGUUGGAUUAGCUAGUUGGUAGGGUAAAAGCCUACCAAGGCGACGAUCCAUAGCUGGUCUGAGAGGAUGAUCAGCCACACUGGGACUGAGACACGGCCCAGACUCCUACGGGAGGCAGCAGUGGGGAAUAUUGGACAAUGGGCGAAAGCCUGAUCCAGCAAUGCCGCGUGAGUGAUGAAGGCCUUAGGGUUGUAAAGCUCUUUUACCCGGGAUGAUAAUGACAGUACCGGGAGAAUAAGCUCCGGCUAACUCCGUG